RNAcentral lists this ribosomal RNA (216 nucleotides) under uncultured Glomus. RNAcentral describes it as "partial small subunit ribosomal RNA". The stretch from base 39 to 216 matches the Rfam family "Eukaryotic small subunit ribosomal RNA", at positions 685 to 864 of the family's 1831-position model. The record is from RNAcentral. Lineage: Eukaryota; Fungi; Glomeromycota; Glomeromycetes; Glomerales; Glomeraceae.
GGGUCAGUAGGUUGGUCGUGCCACUGGUAUGUACUGGCUUCACUGAUUCCUCCCUCUUGUAGAACCGUAAUGCCAUUAAGUUGGUGUUGCGGGGAAACAGGACUGUUACUUUGAAAAAAUUAGAGUGUUUAAAGCAAGCUAACGCUUGAAUACAUUAGCAUGGAAUAAUGAAAUAGGACGUUCGAUCCUAUUUUGUUGGUUUCUAGGAUUGACGUA